AGUGAACGCUGGCGGUAGGCCUAACACAUGCAAGUCGAACGGCAGCACAGUAAGAGCUUGCUCUUACGGGUGGCGAGUGGCGGACGGGUGAGGAAUACAUCGGACUCUACUUUUUCGUGGGGGAUCACGUAGGGACACUUACGCUAAUACCGCAUACGCCCUACGGGAGAAAGCAGGGGAUCUUCGGCCCUUGCGCGAUUGAAUGAGCCGAUGUCGGAUUAGCUAGUUGGCGGGGUAAAGGCCCACCAAGGCGACGAUCCGUAGCUGGUCUGAGAGGAUGAUCAGCCACACUGGAACUGAGACACGGUCCAGACUCCUACGGGAGGCAGCAGUGGGGAAUAUUGGACAAUGGGCGCAAGCCUGAUCCAGCCAUACCGCGUGGGUGAAGAAGGCCUUCGGGUUGUAAAGCCCUUUUGGUGGGAAAGAAAAGCAGCAGGUUAAUACCCCGCUGUUCUGACGGUACCCAAAGAAUAAGCACCGGCUAACUUCGUG
RNAcentral lists this ribosomal RNA (492 nucleotides) under uncultured bacterium. RNAcentral describes it as "partial 16S ribosomal RNA". It matches the Rfam family "Bacterial small subunit ribosomal RNA", at positions 29 to 507 of the family's 1533-position model. The record is from RNAcentral.